Molecule: non-coding RNA, 78 nt
Organism: Schistosoma rodhaini
Lineage: Eukaryota; Metazoa; Platyhelminthes; Trematoda; Strigeidida; Schistosomatidae
Source: Rfam
AGCCUUCUGUAUCCGUGCUGAGACUUCGCCACACACCAGACAACAUGGGCUGAUGAGACUCUCAGGAUAAGUGAAGCG